Molecule: ribosomal RNA, 528 nt
Filed under: Triticum aestivum (bread wheat)
Lineage: Eukaryota; Viridiplantae; Streptophyta; Magnoliopsida; Poales; Poaceae
Description: partial small subunit ribosomal RNA
Source: RNAcentral
AUGCUCACCAUUGCUUUGCUAUGGUAUUGGUGGCAAGAAAGAAAUCGUGGAAAUCAUGGUGAAUGCAGAGCCACAACGGAGGAGUUCCAAUAUGAUAUUCGGUUUCAUGUGAAUGAAUGGAAGGAGUUCGUUGAUAGCAAGCCUGCAGUCCUUAAUACCACUGUCGACUGCUCUUGGGUGCCACCACCGCUUAACACAAUGAAGAUUAAUAUUGAUGGUGCUUAUUCAGCACAAGCUGGGGGUGGCGGAUGGGGACUGAUAUGUAGAGAUGCUACCCGAGAGAUACUAUUUGCUGUUGGUGGUUCAUCCUCAGCCAUGGCCAGUGCCCUUCAUGCUGAGACGACAGCCCUGCUAACAAGCUGUGUCAAUCUUGCUGAUCAAAUAGGUGUGGGGAGAGUUGAGUUUGAGACCGAUUAUCUAGUACUGAACAAGCUGUGUCUAUUGAUAUUGAUGAUCGGUCUUCUCUUGGACAAGCCUUUAGAGAACUCAAGUUUAGGGUUGCUACAUGUUUUAUCCAAGCUAGUGUAG